RNAcentral lists this long non-coding RNA (348 nucleotides) under Cyanistes caeruleus (blue tit). RNAcentral's name for it is "lncRNA (ENSCCEG00000014672.1)". Lineage: Eukaryota; Metazoa; Chordata; Aves; Passeriformes; Paridae. The record is from RNAcentral.
AUGCUGUCAGGCACAUGGUGGGAUUUUCUUGGAGUGUCCUGUGCAGGGCCAGAAGUUGGACUCAGUGAUCCUGAUGGGUCCCUUCAAAUCCAGCAUAGUUCAAAUCAGUGUCUCAGAGAAAGUGUAACAAGGAAGAUUCAGACAAGAGCAAAAGUGGGAUUUUUAACAACAGAAGCAUUCAGUCACUGCAGCAAUAUAUCCAGGUACCCAGCAGCUUGUGACCCAGAUGCAGCAUUGCAGACCCCUAAGGGUGAUGACAAAGAGCAUAUGAAUUGGAGCAGGACAGCAAAUCAGCGAGACCUAUAUACUUCAGAUAGAUUUCAUUAUUCCACUACAGAAGGAACCUAA